RNAcentral lists this non-coding RNA (421 nucleotides) under Danio rerio (zebrafish). Its description in RNAcentral is "Eukaryotic small subunit ribosomal RNA". It matches the Rfam family "Eukaryotic small subunit ribosomal RNA", at positions 1174 to 1613 of the family's 1831-position model. Lineage: Eukaryota; Metazoa; Chordata; Actinopteri; Cypriniformes; Danionidae. The record is from Rfam by way of RNAcentral.
GAGUGGAGCCUGCGGCUUAAUUUGACUCAACACGGGGAACCUCACCCGGCCCGGACACGGAAAGGAUUGACAGAUUGACGGCUCUUUCUCGAUUCUGUGGGUGGUGGUGCAUGGCCGUUCGUAGUUGGUGGAGCGAUUUGUCUGGUUGAUUCCGAUAACGAACGAGACUCUGGCAUGCUAACUAGUUACGCGGCCCCGCGCGGUCGGCGUCUGCAACUUCUUAGAGGGACAAGUGGCGUUCAGCCACGCGAGACUGAGCAAUAACAGGUCUGUGAUGCCCUUAGAUGUCCGGGGCUGCACGCGCGCCACAAUGGGCGGAUCAACGUGUGCCUACCCUGCGCCGACAGGCGCGGGUAACCCGUUGAACCCCGCCCGUGAUGGGGACCGGGGAUUGAAACUAUUUCCCGAGAACGAGGAAUUC